This 465-nucleotide ribosomal RNA is filed under the name uncultured bacterium. RNAcentral describes it as "partial 16S ribosomal RNA". It matches the Rfam family "Bacterial small subunit ribosomal RNA", at positions 338 to 795 of the family's 1533-position model. The record is from RNAcentral.
CCUACGAGAGGCAGCAGUAGGGAAUCUUGCACAAUGGGCGAAAGCCUGAUGGAGCAACGCCGCGUGGGUGAAGAAGGUCUUCGGAUCGUAAAACCCUGUUGUUAGAGAAGAAAGUGCGUGAGAGUAACUGUUAACGUUUCGACGGUAUCUAACCAGAAAGCCACGGCUAACUACGUGCGAGCAGCCGCGGUAAUACGUAGGUGGCAAGCGUUAUCCUGAUUGAUUGGGCGUAAAGGGAACGCAGGCGGGCUUGUAAGUCUGAUGUGAAUGCCUUCGGCUUAACCGGAGUAGUGCAUUGGAUACUGGGAGACUUGAGUGCAGAUGAGGAGAGUGGAACGUCAUGUGUAGCUGUGAAAUGCGUAGAUAUAUGGAAGAACACCAGUGGCGAAGGCGGCUCUCUGGUCUGUAACUGACGCUGAGGUUCGAAAGCGUGGGUAGCAAACAGGAUUAGAUACCCUUGUAGUC